GUGUCAGCAGCCGCGGUAAGACAGGGGACCCAAGCGUUAAUCGGAAUCACUGGGCUUAAAGGGUGCGUAGGCGGGCCGCUAAGCGUCUUGUGAAAUCCCCCGGCUCAACCGGGGAACCGCGGGGCGAACUGGCGGCCUUGAGGCAAGUAGGGGCGGGCAGAACAGUCGGUGGAGCGGUGAAAUGCGUAGAUAUCGACUGGAAUGCCGAUGGUGAAGACGGCCCGCUGGGCUUGUCCUGACGCUGAGGCACGAAAGCGUGGGGAGCAAACAGGAUUAGAAACCCCAGUAGUCC
Molecule: ribosomal RNA, 292 nt
Filed under: uncultured bacterium
Lineage: Bacteria
Description: partial 16S ribosomal RNA
Rfam family: Bacterial small subunit ribosomal RNA
Source: RNAcentral